Molecule: ribosomal RNA, 452 nt
Filed under: uncultured Bacteroidales bacterium
Lineage: Bacteria; Pseudomonadati; Bacteroidota; Bacteroidia; Bacteroidales
Description: bacterial SSU rRNA
Rfam family: Bacterial small subunit ribosomal RNA
Source: RNAcentral
CGGGUGGCAGCAGUGAGGAAUAUUGGUCAAUGGGCGAGAGCCUGAACCAGCCAUCCCGCGUGCAGGAAGACGGCCCUAUGGGUUGUAAACUGCUUUUUCGCAUGAAGAACAUCCCGGACGUGUCCGGGACUGACGGUAAUGCGUGAAUAAGCACCGGCUAACUCCGUGCCAGCAGCCGCGGUAAUACGGAGGGUGCAAGCGUUAUCCGGAUUUAUUGGGUUUAAAGGGUGCGUAGGCGGCAUUUUAAGUCAGUGGUGAAAUCCUGCAGCUCAACUGUAGAACAGCCAUUGAAACUGAAGUACUUGAGUAAUCUUGAGGUAGGCGGAAUGUGUAGUGUAGCGGUGAAAUGCUUAGAUAUUACACAGAACACCGAUUGCGAAGGCAGCUUACUAAGGAUUUACUGACGCUGAUGCACGAAAGCGUGGGGAUCAAACAGGAUUAGAUACCCGAGU